UACGGAGGGGGCUAGCGUUGUUCGGAAUUACUGGGCGUAAAGCGUGCGCAGGCGGUUUUGUAAGACCGAUGUGAAAUCCCCGGGCUUAACCUGGGAACUGCGCUUGUUACUGGCAGGCUUGAGUGUGGCAGAGGGGGGUGGAAUUCCACGUGUAGCAGUGAAAUGCGUAGAGAUGUGGAGGAACACCGAUGGCGAAGGCAGCCCCCUGGGCUAACACUGACGCUCAUGCACGAAAGCGUGGGGAGCAAACAGG
RNAcentral lists this ribosomal RNA (253 nucleotides) under uncultured bacterium. RNAcentral describes it as "partial 16S ribosomal RNA". It matches the Rfam family "Bacterial small subunit ribosomal RNA", at positions 524 to 776 of the family's 1533-position model. The record is from RNAcentral.